This 253-nucleotide ribosomal RNA is filed under the name uncultured bacterium. Its description in RNAcentral is "partial 16S ribosomal RNA". It matches the Rfam family "Bacterial small subunit ribosomal RNA", at positions 524 to 776 of the family's 1533-position model. The record is from RNAcentral.
UACGUAGGGGGCAAGCGUUAUCCGGAUUUACUGGGUGUAAAGGGAGCGUAGACGGCAGGGCAGGUCUGGAGUGAAAGGCAGGGGCCCAACCCCUGGACUGCUCUGGAAACUGUCCGGCUGGAGUGCAGGAGAGGUAAGUGGAAUUCCUAGUGUAGCGGUGAAAUGCGUAGAUAUUAGGAGGAACACCAGUGGCGAAGGCGGCUUACUGGACUGUAACUGACGUUGAGGCUCGAAAGCGUGGGGAGCAAACAGG